GGCGAGGCUCCCGGCGGCCCCUGAGAGGCGGGCCCUCUGCCCGUCCAGGGCGGCCACCAGCUUCCGGAGCGAGGCGUCCGAGAACUCAUGGAAAAAGCGCCGGAAGCUGGGGUGCUGCCGGAUCUGCGAGGGAGGCCGAGAAGCGGAAACGGAGGCUCAGAGAGGCCAAGGGACGUGACCAAGGACACUCAGAAGGGGAGGACGGAACCCAGGUCUCAGAGGCUGCACUCUAAAAAGCACGUGGACGGGCCCAUGGCUCCCACUCAGCAGCCACCCCCCCUUUAAAUGUGCAAGACUUGGCCCUGUCAGUCUGAACGCCACCUUCCCCUGUUGUCAAAUGGAAC
Long non-coding RNA from Meriones unguiculatus (Mongolian gerbil), 344 nucleotides. RefSeq lists it as uncharacterized. Lineage: Eukaryota; Metazoa; Chordata; Mammalia; Rodentia; Muridae. The record is from RefSeq and is a predicted model, not a curated record. The transcript has 3 exons.